RNAcentral lists this ribosomal RNA (905 nucleotides) under uncultured bacterium. RNAcentral describes it as "bacterial SSU rRNA". It matches the Rfam family "Bacterial small subunit ribosomal RNA", at positions 8 to 916 of the family's 1533-position model. The record is from RNAcentral.
AGAGUUUGAUCAUGGCUCAGGAUGAACGCUAGCGGGAGGCUUAACACAUGCAAGUCGAGGGGUAUUUCGAGCAAUCGGGAGAGACCGGCGGACGGGUGCGUAACGCGUAUGCAACUUGCCUUAUACAGGGGGAUAGCCCGUGGAAACGCGGAUUAAAACCGCAUAGGUCAUUAGUACUGCAUGGUACAGAUGAUAAAGCUGAGGUGGUAUAAGAUAGGCAUGCGUCUGAUUAGCUUGUUGGUAGGGUAACGGCCUACCAAGGCGACGAUCAGUAGGGGUUCUGAGAGGAUAAUCCCCCACACUGGUACUGAGACACGGACCAGACUCCUACGGGAGGCAGCAGUGAGGAAUAUUGGUCAAUGGGCGAGAGCCUGAACCAGCCAUUCCGCGUGAAGGAAGAAGGCCUUACGGGUUGUAAACUUCUUUUCUGUAAGAAGAAUAGCCCCGACGUGUCGGGGUAUUGACGGUAUUAUAGGAAUAAGCAUCGGCUAACUCCGUGCCAGCAGCCGCGGUAAUACGGAGGAUGCAAGCGUUAUCCGGAUUUAUUGGGUUUAAAGGGUGCGCAGGUGGUUUUAUAAGUCAGUGGUGAAAGUCUGGCGCUUAACGUUAGGAUUGCCAUUGAUACUGUAGGACUUGAGUAUGGAUGAGGUAGGCGGAAUGUGUAGUGUAGCGGUGAAAUGCAUAGAUAUUACACAGAACUCCGAUUGCGAAGGCAGCUUACUAAUCCAUUACUGACACUGAGGCACGAAAGCGUGGGGAUCAAACAGGAUUAGAUACCCUGGUAGUCCACGCCGUAAACGAUGAUCACUCGCUGUUUGCGAUAUACAGUAAGCGGCUGAGCGAAAGCAUUAAGUGAUCCACCUGGGGAGUACGAUCGCAAGGUUGAAACUCAAAGGAAUUGACGG